CGAGCGAGCUUGCCUAGAUGAUUUUAGUGCUUGCACUAAAUGAAACUAGAUACAAGCGAGCGGCGGACGGGUGAGUAACACGUGGGUAACCUGCCCAAGAGACUGGGAUAACACCUGGAAACAGAUGCUAAUACCGGAUAACAACACUAGACGCAUGUCUAGAGUUUGAAAGAUGGUUCUGCUAUCACUCUUGGAUGGACCUGCGGUGCAUUAGCUAGUUGGUAAGGUAACGGCUUACCAAGGCAAUGAUGCAUAGCCGAGUUGAGAGACUGAUCGGCCACAUUGGGACUGAGACACGGCCCAAACUCCUACGGGAGGCAGCAGUAGGGAAUCUUCCACAAUGGACGAAAGUCUGAUGGAGCAACGCCGCGUGAGUGAAGAAGGGUUUCGGCUCGUAAAGCUCUGUUGGUAGUGAAGAAAGAUAGAGGUAGUAACUGGCCUUUAUUUGACGGUAAUUACUUAGAAAGUCACGGCUAACUACGUGCCAGCAGCCGCGGUAAUACGUAGGUGGCAAGCGUUGUCCGGAUUUAUUGGGCGUAAAGCGAGUGCAGGCGGUUCAAUAAGUCUGAUGUGAAAGCCUUCGGCUCAACCGGAGAAUUGCAUCAGAAACUGUUGAACUUGAGUGCAGAAGAGGAGAGUGGAACUCCAUGUGUAGCGGUGGAAUGCGUAGAUAUAUGGAAGAACACCAGUGGCGAAGGCGACUCUCUGGUCUGCAACUGACGCUGAGGCUCGAAAGCAUGGGUAGCGAACAGGAUUAGAUACCCUGGUAGUCCAUGCCGUAAACGAUGAGUGCUAAGUGUU
Molecule: ribosomal RNA, 801 nt
Filed under: uncultured bacterium
Lineage: Bacteria
Description: bacterial SSU rRNA
Rfam family: Bacterial small subunit ribosomal RNA
Source: RNAcentral